This is a non-coding RNA of Microcebus murinus (gray mouse lemur), 225 nucleotides long. Lineage: Eukaryota; Metazoa; Chordata; Mammalia; Primates; Cheirogaleidae. The record is from RefSeq and is a predicted model, not a curated record.
AGGGACAAUCCAGGGGACUACAGUAAUUCAACACUGGGCCACCCCAGCCAUCACACGGGAGUCAGGGAAGGCUUCCCAGGGGAGCUGAUUUUGUGCCGUAUCUUGCCUGGACCUCAGCAGGAGACCAGAGUGAUAUGCAGUUCACUUUCCCUGGAGUGAAAUGUGUGGUUAAGUCAUAUGUACCUUUGCUUUUGAAAAUCAAACAUGAUCAUCUGAUACUAUGAA